GAAGUUACAUUAUGAGAUUAAAAGAGAGGCACGACACGCAGGUCAUAUUUUAAAAACCCAAAACAAAAUAAAGGAAAACUAAGGCCAUAAUCGAUCACCACAAGAUAAUAAUAAUAAACACAUUAUUAUUAUUAAUUUUAAUUCUUUUAAUUAAUUAAAACCAAAUUAAAUUUCAGCGACCGAUCACACUAGGCAGAGUUAG
This 202-nucleotide long non-coding RNA is filed under the name Lathyrus oleraceus (garden pea). Its description in RNAcentral is "Pisum sativum (pea) long non-coding RNA (PSAT_LNC015833)". Lineage: Eukaryota; Viridiplantae; Streptophyta; Magnoliopsida; Fabales; Fabaceae. The record is from RNAcentral.